GACGAACGCUGGCGGCGUGCUUAACACAUGCAAGUCGAACGGAAAGGCCCUGCUUUUGUGGGGUGCUCGAGUGGCGAACGGGUGAGUAACACGUGAGUAACCUGCCCUUGACUUUGGGAUAACUUCAGGAAACUGGGGCUAAUACCGGAUAGGAGCUCCUGCUGCAUGGUGGGGGUUGGAAAGUUUCGGCGGUUGGGGAUGGACUCGCGGCUUAUCAGCUUGUUGGUGGGGUAGUGGCUUACCAAGGCUUUAACGGGUAGCCGGCCUGAGAGGGUGACCGGCCACAUUGGGACUGAGAUACGGCCCAGACUCCUACGGGAGGCAGCAGUGGGGAAUAUUGCACAAUGGGCGGAAGCCUGAUGCAGCAACGCCGCGUGCAGGAUGACGGCCUUCGGGUUGUAAACCGCUUUCGCCUGUGACGAAGCGUGAGUGACGGUAAUGGGUAAAGAAGCACCGGCUAACUACGUG
RNAcentral lists this ribosomal RNA (468 nucleotides) under uncultured bacterium. RNAcentral describes it as "partial 16S ribosomal RNA". It matches the Rfam family "Bacterial small subunit ribosomal RNA", at positions 28 to 507 of the family's 1533-position model. The record is from RNAcentral.